Molecule: unclassified non-coding RNA, 336 nt
Filed under: soil metagenome
Description: partial contains 5.8S ribosomal RNA, internal transcribed spacer 2, and large subunit ribosomal RNA
Rfam family: 5.8S ribosomal RNA (bases 1-120)
Source: RNAcentral
GAUGAAGAACGUAGCGAAAUGCGAUAAGUAAUGUGAAUUGCAGAAUUCAGUGAAUCAUCGAAUCUUUGAACGCACAUUGCGCCCGCCAGUAUUCUGGCGGGCAUGCCUGUUCGAGCGUCAUUUCAACCACCAAGCCCCAGGCUUGUGUUGGGGACCUGCGGCUGCCGCAGGCCCUGAAAACCAGUGGCGGGCUCGCUGUCACACCGGGCGUAGUAGAUUUUAUCUCGCUCAGGGCGUGCUGCGGGUCCCGGCCGUUAAAAGCCUUUUUUUACCCAAGGUUGACCUCGGAUCAGGUAGGAAGACCCGCUGAACUUAAGCAUAUCAAUAAGCGGAGGA